Molecule: long non-coding RNA, 568 nt
Filed under: Bos taurus (domestic cattle)
Lineage: Eukaryota; Metazoa; Chordata; Mammalia; Artiodactyla; Bovidae
Description: long non-coding RNA NONBTAT019712
Source: RNAcentral
AUUUAAACUAGUUGUAUUUCUUUAAACUACUAUAUUACAAGUAUCUAAGAUACUCUUGACUUGUAUAUUCAGUUUAGAGUGUUCCAACCUAACUCAGUUAACUGUUAAAUUUUAUUUGGGGGUUUUGACCAACUUUAUUUCUUACUUGGAUUAUUAUAGGAACUUCUUAACUAAUAGUACCUGUAUUUUGGAUCUCCUGCUUUUGGAUCUUCCCAGAGUCCACUGUUAAGUUUUUUACCUAAACUAUACAUCUAGCUGUGUCACUUGUGUACCACUUAACUUUCCUAGCUCAGAAAUCGGUAAUCACCCUUUAAUACCUACAGAAUACAGCACAACUUGUUUCCAUCAUGUAUAUUAUCCUCUGUGAUUCUGUUCAUCCUGUGUUCUAGCCAUACUCGAAUUCUUAGCAUUUCUCAAACAUGCUGACUUUGUUUAUUUUAUUCUUUAAAUUCAACCAGUUAAAAUUACAUUUCAGCUUUGUGGGAAUAUCAUCCCUUUUACCAAUCAAAAUGGAUUUUUCUUUGUUUCUACAGGGUUUGUAUUAUAACACUGUAGCAGUACUUACACG